Molecule: unclassified non-coding RNA, 188 nt
Filed under: Basidiomycota sp.
Lineage: Eukaryota; Fungi; Basidiomycota
Description: partial contains small subunit ribosomal RNA and internal transcribed spacer 1
Rfam family: Eukaryotic small subunit ribosomal RNA (bases 1-47)
Source: RNAcentral
AAAGUCGUAACAAGGUUUCCGUAGGUGAACCUGCGGAAGGAUCAUUCGAGGAGCAAGCAAGCAUGCGUAGCAUGUGAGCGCGCGAACUUAUUUUGUGCUUCGAGAGUCUGCUUGCAGAUCUCACCAAUUAAACAUCAACCAAAAAUUUCUAAAUAACAAAACUAUAAACAACGGAUCUCUAGGCUCUU